Molecule: ribosomal RNA, 253 nt
Filed under: uncultured Eubacteriales bacterium
Lineage: Bacteria; Bacillati; Bacillota; Clostridia; Eubacteriales
Description: uncultured Clostridiales bacterium partial 16S ribosomal RNA
Rfam family: Bacterial small subunit ribosomal RNA
Source: RNAcentral
UACGUAGGGGGCAAGCGUUAUCCGGAUUUACUGGGUGUAAAGGGUGCGUAGGCGGCGCAGUUAGUCAGAAGUGAAAUAUCGGGGCUUAACCCCGGGGCUGCUUCUGAUACUGCUGUGCUCGAGUGCAGGAGAGGUAAGUGGAAUUCCUAGUGUAGCGGUGAAAUGCGUAGAUAUUAGGAGGAACACCAGUGGCGAAGGCGGCUUACUGGACGAUGACUGACGCUGAGGCUCGAAAGCGUGGGGAGCAAACAGG